Molecule: ribosomal RNA, 426 nt
Filed under: uncultured bacterium
Lineage: Bacteria
Description: partial 16S ribosomal RNA
Rfam family: Bacterial small subunit ribosomal RNA
Source: RNAcentral
GUGGGGAAUCUUGCGCAAUGGGCGAAAGCCUGACGCAGCCAUGCCGCGUGAAUGAUGAAGGUCUUAGGAUUGUAAAAUUCUUUCACCGGGGACGAUAAUGACGGUACCCGGAGAAGAAGCUCCGGCUAACUUCGUGCCAGCAGCCGCGGUAAUACGAAGGGGGCUAGCGUUGCUCGGAAUUACUGGGCGUAAAGGGCGCGUAGGCGGACAGCUUAGUCAGAGGUGAAAGCCCAGGGCUCAACCUUGGAAUUGCCUUUGAUACUGGCUGUCUUGAGUUUGGGAGAGGUGAGUGGAACUCCGAGUGUAGAGGUGACAUUCGUAGAUAUUCGGAAGAACACCAGUGGCGAAGGCGACUCACUGGCCCAAUACUGACGCUGAGGCGCGAAAGCGUGGGGAGCAAACAGGAUUAGAUACCCCGUGUAGUCC